This 253-nucleotide ribosomal RNA is filed under the name uncultured bacterium. Its description in RNAcentral is "partial 16S ribosomal RNA". It matches the Rfam family "Bacterial small subunit ribosomal RNA", at positions 524 to 776 of the family's 1533-position model. The record is from RNAcentral.
UACGUAGGGUGCGAGCGUUGUUCGGAAUUACUGGGCGUAAAGCGCACGUAGGCGGAUCGAUCAGUCAGGGGUGAAAUCCCAGAGCUCAACUCUGGAACUGCCUUUGAUACUGUCGAUCUAGAGUAUGGAAGAGGUGAGUGGAAUUCCGAGUGUAGAGGUGAAAUUCGUAGAUAUUCGGAGGAACACCAGUGGCGAAGGCGGCUCACUGGUCCAUUACUGACGCUGAGGUGCGAAAGCUAGGGGAGCAAACGGG